UGGGAGGGAAAAAUGUUCAUGGAGGGGUGUGUGUGUGGGGGGGGGGUCCAAAUAUUUCUUUAACUGAUCAAAUAGGAGAUAGCAAAUUUUUUUAGCCUAACUGAUCCAAACAAGGGAAUAUGAGAAUUGAUUGAUAAAUUCUUAGAAUCGGCCACAUGAUACCUGUCAAUUUCUCAACCAAAGAUCAUUUCUCAAUCAGAAAACCAAAGCUUGUCUACUACUCCAUCCGUUUCAAAAUGCAAGUAGUUUUGAAUUUUCUGUACAGAUAGGUCCUACUAUGCACCUAAAUAUAGAGUUAUACCUAGAUAAAUAACAUCUAUAGCCUUGACCAGAGCUUGGAGACCCCUUGCAACUGUAGCAGCCACCGUGGGAGUUGGAGGUGUUGUCUAGGGUUUCACUACGACACUACCUGGAAGGCUUAUUAUAGGGAGAAGUUGUAGGGAGAAGUUGGGCCGAGUGGAACGAAUGAGGCUGUAGAGGCUUAUUAUAGGGAGAGGGGUUUGGCCCAGUGGAACGAAUGGGAGUGAAAAAUGUUCAUGGAGGGGUGUCUGUGGGGGGGGUCCAAAUAUUCUUUUAACUCAUCAAAUAGGAGAUAGCUAAUUUUUUUAGCCUAACUGAUCCAAACAAGGGAACAUGAGAAUUGAUUGAUAAAUUCUUGGAAUCGGCCACAUGAUACCCGUCAAUUUCUCAACCAAAGAUCAUUUCUCAAUCAGAAAACCAAAGCUUGUCUACUAAUCCAUCCGUUUUAAAAUGCAAGUAGUUUUGAAUUUUUUAUACAGAUAGGUCCUGCUAUGCACCUAAAUAUAGAGUUAUACCUAGAUAAAUAACAUCUAUAGCCUUGACCAGAGCUUGGAAACCCCUUGCAACUGUAGCAGCCACCAUGGGAGUUGGAGGUGGUUUCUAGGGUUUCACUACGACACUACCUGGAAGGCUUAUUAUAGGGAGAAGUUGUAGGGAGAAGUUGGGCCGAGUGGAACAAAUGAGGCUGUAGAGGCUUAUUAUAGGGAGAGGGGUCUGGCCCAGUGGAACGAAUGGGAGGGAAAAAUAUUCAUGGAGGGGGGGUGUGUGUGUGUGGGGGGGUCCAAAUAUUCCUUUAACUGAUAAAAUAGGAGAUAGCUAAUUUUUUUAGCCUAACUGAUCCAAACAAGGGAACAUGAGAAUUUAUUGAUAAAUUCUUGGAAUCGGCCACAUGAUACCCGUCAAUUUCUCAACCAAAGAUCAUUUCUCAAUCAGAAAACAAAAGAUUGUCUACUACUCCAUCUGUUUCAAAAUGCAAGUAGUUUUGAAUUUUCUAUACAGAUAGGUCCUGCUAUGCACCUAAAUAUAGAGUUAUACCUAGAUAAAUAACAUCUAUAGCCUUGACCGGAGCUUGGAGAUCCCUUGCAAUUGUAGCAGCCGCCAUGGGAGUUGGAGGUGUUGUCUAGGGUUUCACUACGACACUACCUGGAAGGCUUAUUAUAGGGAGAAGUUGUAGGAAAAAGUUGGGCCGAGUGGAAUGAAUGAGGCUGUAGAGGCUUAUUAUAGGGAGAGGGGUCUGGCCCAGUGGAACGAAUGGGAGGGAAAAAUGUUCAUGGAGGGGUGUGUGUGUGGGGGGGUCCAAAUAUUCCUUUAACUGAUCAAAUAGGAGAUAGCUAAUUUUUUUAGCCUAACUGAUCCAAACAAGGGAACAUGAGAAUUGAUUGAUAAAUUCUUGGAAUCGGCCACAUGAUACCCGUCAAUUUCUCAACCAAAGAUCAUUUCUCAAUCAGAAAACCAAAGCUUGUCUACUACUCCAUUCGUUUCAAAAUGCAAGUAGUUUUAAAUUUUCUAUAAAGAUAGGUCCUGCUAUGCACCGAAAUAUAGAGUUAUACCUAGAUAAAUAACAUCUAUAGCCUUAACCAGAGCUUGGAGACCCCUUGCAAGUGUAGCAGCCGCCAUGGGAGUUGGAGGUGUUGUCUAGGGUUUCACUACGACACUACCUGGAAGGCUUAUUAUAGGGAGAAGUUGUAGGGAGAAGUUGGACUUAGUGGAACGAAUGAGGCUGGAGAGGCUUAUUAUAGGGAGAGGGGUCUGGCCCAGUGGAACGAAUGGGAGGGGAAAAUGUUUAUGGAGGGGUGUGUGUGUGUGGGGGGGUCCAAAUAUUCCUUUAACUGAUCAAAUAGGAGAUAGCUAAUUUUUUUAGCCUAACUGAUCCAAACAAGGGAACAUGAGAAUUGAUUGAUAAAUUCUUGGAAUCGGCCACAUGAUACCCGUCAAUUUCUCAACCAAAGAUCAUUUCUCAAUCAGAAAACCAAAGCUUGUCUACUACUCCAUCCGUUUCAAAAUGCAAGUAGUUUUGAAUUUUCUAUACAAAUAGGUCCUGCUAUGCACCUAAAUAUAGAGUUAUACCUAGAUUAAUAACAUCUAUAGCCUUGACCAGAGCUUGGAGACCCCUUGCAACUGUAGCAGCCGCCAUGGGAGUUGGAGGUGUUGUCUAGGGUUUCACUACGACACUACCUGGAAGGCUUAUUAUAGGGAGAAGUUGUAGGGAGAAGUUGGGCCGAGUGGAACGAAUGAGGCUGUAGAGGCUUAUUAUAGGGAGAGGGGUCUGGCCCAAUGGAACGAAUGGGAGGGAAAAAUGUUCAUGGAGGGGUGUGUGUGUGGGGGGGUCCAAAUAUUUCUUUAACUGAUCAAAUAGGAGAUAGCUAAUUUUUUUAGCCUAACUGAUCCAAACAAGGGAACAUGAGAAUUGAUUGAUAAAUUCUUGGAAUCGGCCACAUGAUACCCGUCAAUUUCUCAACCAAAGAUCAUUUCUCAAUCAGAAAACCAAAGCUUGUCUACUACUCCAUCCGUUUCAAAAUGCAAGUAGUUUUGAAUUUUCUAUACAGAUAGGUCCUGCUAUGCACCUAAAUAUAGAGUUGUACCUAGAUAAAUAACAUCUAUACCCUUGACUAGAGCUUGGAGACCCCUUGCAACUGUAGCAUCCGCCAUGGGAGUUGGAGGUGUUGUCUAGGGUUUCACUACGACACUACCUAGAAGGUUUAUUAUAGGGAGAAGUUGUAGGGAGAAGUUGGGCCGAGUGGAACGAAUGAGGCUGUAGAGGCUUAUUAUAGGGAGAGGGGUCUGGCCCAGUGGAACGAAUGGGAGGGAAAAAUAUUCAUGGAGGGGUGUGUGUGUGUGUGGGGGGGGGGGGGGUCCAAAUAUUCUUUAACUGAUAAAAUUGGAGAUAGCUAAUUUUUUUGGCCUAACUGAUCCAAACAAGGGAACAUGAGAAUUGAUUGAUAAAUUCUUGGAAUCGGCCACAUGAUACCCGUCAAUUUCUCAACCAAAGAUCAUUUCUCAAUCAGAAAACAAAAGAUUGUCUACUACUCCAUCCGUUUCAAAAUGCAAGUAGUUUUGAAUUUUCUAUACAGAUAGGUCCUGCUAUGCACCUAAAUAUAGAGUUAUACCUAGAUAAAUAACAUCUAUAGCCUUGACCGGAGCUUGGAGAUCCCUUGCAACUGUAGCAGCCGCCAUGGGAGUUGGAGGUGUUGUCUAGGGUUUCACUACGACACUACCUGGAAGGCUUAUUAUAGGGAGAAGUUGUAGGGAGAAGUUGGGCCGAGUGGAAGGAAUGAGGCUGUAGAGGCUUAUUAUAGGGAGAGGGGUUUGGCCCAGUGGAACGAAUGGGAGGGAAAAAUGUUCAUGGAGGGGUGUGUGGGGGGGGGUCCAAAUAUUUCUUUAACUGAUCAAAUAGGAGAUAGCUAAUUUUUUUAGCCUAACUGAUCCAAACAAGGGAACAUGAGAAUUGAUUGAUAAAUUCUUGGAAUCGGCCACAUGAUACCCGUCAAUUUCUCAACCAAAGAUCAUUUCUCAAUAAGAAAACCAAAGCUUGUCUACUACUCUAUCCGUUUCAAAAUGCAAGUAGUUUUGAAUUUUCUAUACAGAUAGGUCCUGCUAUGCACCUAAAUAUAGAGUUAUACCUAGAUAAAUAACAUCUAUAGCCUUGACCGGAGCUUGGAGAUCCCUUGCAACUGUAGCAGCCGCCAUGGGAGUUGGAGGUGUUGUCUAGGGUUUCACUACGACACUACCUGGAAGGCUUAUUAUAGGGAGAAGUUGUAGGGAGAAGUUGGGCCGAGUGGAAGGAAUGAGGCUGUAGAGGCUUAUUAUAGGGAGAGGGGUUUGGCCCAGUGGAACGAAUGGGAGGGAAAAAUGUUCAUGGAGGGGUGUGUGGGGGGGGGGUCCAAAUAUUUCUUUAACUGAUCAAAUAGGAGAUAGCUAAUUUUUUUAGCCUAACUGAUCCAAACAAGGGAACAUGAGAAUUGAUUGAUAAAUUCUUGGAAUCGGCCACAUGAUACCCGUCAAUUUCUCAACCAAAGAUCAUUUCUCAAUAAGAAAACCAAAGCUUGUCUACUACUCUAUCCGUUUCAAAAUGCAAGUAGUUUUGAAUUUUCUAUACAGAUAGGUCCUGCUAUGCACCUAAAUAUAGAGUUAUACCUAGAUAAAUAACAUCUAUAGCCUUGACCAGAGCUUGGAGACCCCUUGCAACUGUAGCAGCCGCCAUGGGAGUUGGAGGUGUUGUCUAGGGUUUCACUACGACACUACCUGGAAGGCUUAUUAUAGGGAGAAGUUGUAGGGAGAAGUUGGGCCGAGUGGAAGGAAUGAUGCUGUAGAGGCUUAUUAUAGGGAUAGGGGUCUGGCCCAGUGGAACGAAUGGGAGGGAAAAAUGUUCAUGGAGGGGUGUGUGGGGGGGGGUCCAAAUAUUUUUCUUUAACUGAUCAAAUAGGAGAUAGCUAAUUUUUUUAGCCUAACUGAUCCAAACAAGGGAACAUGAGAAUUGAUUGAUAAAUUCUUGGAAUCGGCCACAUGAUACCCGUCAAUUUCUCAACCAAAGAUCAUUUCUCAAUAAGAAAACCAAAGCUUGUCUACUACUCUAUCCGUUUCAAAAUGCAAGUAGUUUUAAAUUUUCUAUAUAGAUAGGUCCUCCUAUGCACCUAAAUAUAGAGUUAUACCUAGAUAAUUAACAUCUAUAGCCUUAACCAGAGCUUGGAGACCCCUUGCAACUGUAGCAGCCGCCAUGAAAGUUGGAGGUGUUGUCUAGGGUUUCACUACGACACUACCUGGAAGGCUUAUUAUAGGGAGAAGUUGUAGGGAGAAGUUGGGCCGAGUGGAAGGAAUGAGGCUGUAGAGGCUUAUUAUAGGGAGAGGGGUUUGGCCCAGUGGAACGAAUGGGAGGGAAAAAUGUUCAUGGAGGGGUGUGUGGGGGGGGGUCCAAAUAUUUCUUUAACUGAUCAAAUAGGAGAUAGCUAAUUUUUUUAGCCUAACUGAUCCAAACAAGGGAACAUGAGAAUUGAUUGAUAAAUUCUUGGAAUCGGCCACAUGAUACCCGUCAAUUUCUCAACCAAAGAUCAUUUCUCAAUAAGAAAACCAAAGCUUGUCUACUACUCUAUCCGUUUCAAAAUGCAAGUAGUUUUGAAUUUUCUAUACAGAUAGGUCCUGCUAUGCACCUAAAUAUAGAGUUAUACCUAGAUAAAUAACAUCUAUAGCCUUGACCGGAGCUUGGAGAUCCCUUGCAACUGUAGCAGCCGCCAUGGGAGUUGGAGGUGUUGUCUAGGGUUUCACUACGACACUACCUGGAAGGCUUAUUAUAGGGAGAAGUUGUAGGGAGAAGUUGGGCCGAGUGGAAGGAAUGAGGCUGUAGAGGCUUAUUAUAGGGAGAGGGGUUUGGCCCAGUGGAACGAAUGGGAGGGAAAAAUGUUCAUGGAGGGGUGUGUGGGGGGGGGGGGGUCCAAAUAUUUCUUUAACUGAUCAAAUAGGAGAUAGCUAAUUUUUUAGCCUAACUGAUCCAAACAAGGGAACAUGAGAAUUGAUUGAUAAAUUCUUGGAAUCGGCCACAUGAUACCCGUCAAUUUCUCAACCAAAGAUCAUUUCUCAAUAAGAAAACCAAAGCUUGUCUACUACUCUAUCCGUUUCAAAAUGCAAGUAGUUUUGAAUUUUCUAUACAGAUAGGUCCUGCUAUGCACCUAAAUAUAGAGUUAUACCUAGAUAAAUAACAUCUAUAGCCUUGACCAGAGCUUGGAGACCCCUUGCAACUGUAGCAGCCGCCAUGGGAGUUGGAGGUGUUGUCUAGGGUUUCACUACGACACUACCUGGAAGGCUUAUUAUAGGGAGAAGUUGUAGGGAGAAGUUGGGCCGAGUGGAAGGAAUGAGGCUGUAGAGGCUUAUUAUAGGGAUAGGGGUCUGGCCCAGUGGAACGAAUGGGAGGGAAAAAUGUUCAUGGAGGGGUGUGUGGGGGGGGGGUCCAAAUAUUUUCUUUAACUGAUCAAAUAGGAGAUAGCUAAUUUUUUUAGCCUAACUGAUCCAAACAAGGGAACAUGAGAAUUGAUUGAUAAAUUCUUGGAAUCGGCCACAUGAUACCCGUCAAUUUCUCAACCAAAGAUCAUUUCUCAAUAAGAAAACCAAAGCUUGUCUACUACUCUAUCCGUUUCAAAAUGCAAGUAGUUUUAAAUUUUCUAUAUAGAUAGGUCCUCCUAUGCACCUAAAUAUAGAGUUAUACCUAGAUAAUUAACAUCUAUAGCCUUAACCAGAGCUUGGAGACCCCUUGCAACUGUAGCAGCCGCCAUGGAAGUUGGAGGUGUUGUCUAGGGUUUCACUACGACACUACCUGGAAGGCUUAUUAUAGGGAGAAGUUGUAGGGAGAAGUUGGGCCGAUUGGAACGAAUGAGGCUGUAGAGGCUUAUUAUAGGGAGAGGGGUCUAGCCCAGUGGAACGAAUGGGAGGGGAAAAUGUUUAUGGAGGGGUGUGUGUGUGGGGGGGGGGGGUCGAAAUAUUCCUUUAACUGAUCAAAUAGGAGAUAGCUAAUUUUUUUAGCCUAACUAAUCCAAACAAGGGAACAUGAGAAUUGAUUGAUAAAUUCUUGGAAUCGUCCACAUGAUACCCGUCAAUUUCUCAACCAAAGAUCAUUUCUCAAUCAGAAAACCAAAGCUUGUCUACUACUCCAUUCGUUUGAAAAUGCAAGUACUUUUGAAUUUUCUAUACAGAUAGGUCCUGCUAUGCACCUAAAUAUAGAGUUAUACCUAGAUUAAUAACAUCUAUAGCCUUGACCAGAGCUUGGAGACCCCUUGCAACUGUAGCAGCCGCCAUGGGAAUUGGAGGUGUUGUCUAGGGUUUCACUACGACACUACCUGGAAGGCUUAUUAUAGGGAGAAGUUGUAGGGAGAAGUUGGGCCGAGUGGAACGAAUGAGGCUGUAGAGGCUUAUUAUAGGGAGAGGGGUCUGGCCCAAUGGAACGAAUGGGAGGGAAAAAUGUUCAUGGAGGGGUGUGUGGGGGGGUCCAAAUAUUUCUUUAACUGAUCAAAUAGGAGAUAGCAAAUUUUUUUAGCCAAACUGAUCCAAAUAAGGGAACAUGAGAAUUGAUUGAUAAAUUCUUGGAAUCGGCCACAUGAUACCCGUCAAUUUUUCAACCAAAGAUCAUUUCUCAAUCAGAAAACCAAAGGUUGUCUACUACUCCAUCCGUUUCAAAAUGCAAGUAGUUUUGAAUUUUCUAUACAGAUAGGUGCUGCUAUUCACCUAAAUAUAGAGUUGUACCUAGAUAAAUAACAUCUAUAGCCUUGACCAGAGCUUGGAGACCCCUUGCAACUGUAGCAUCCGACAUGGGAGUUGGAGGUGUUGUCUAGGGUUUCACUACGACACUACCUCGAAGGUUUAUUAUAGGGAGAAGUUGUAGGGAGAAGUUGGGCCGAGUGGAACGAAUGAGGCUGUAGAGGCUUAUUAUAGGGAGAGGGGUCUGGCCCAGUGGAACGAAUGGGAGGGAAAAAUAUUCAUGGAGGGGUGUGUGUGUGUGGGGGGGGGGGUCCAAAUAUUCCUUUAACUGAUAAAAUUGGAGAUAGCUAAUUUUUUUGGCCUAACUGAUCCAAACAAGGGAACAUGAGAAUUGAUUGAUAAAUUCUUGGAAUCGGCCACAUGAUACCCGUCAAUUUCUCAACCAAAGAUCAUUUCUCAAUCAGAAAACAAAAGAUUGUCUACUACUCCAUCCGUUUCAAAAUGCAAGUAGUUUUGAAUUUUCUAUACAGAUAGGUCCUGCUAUGCACCUAAAUAUAGAGUUAUACCUAGAUAAAUAACAUCUAUAGCCUUGACCGGAGCUUGGAGAUCCCUUGCAACUGUAGCAGCCGCCAUGGGAGUUGGAGGUGUUGUCUAGGGUUUCACUACGACACUACCUGGAAGGCUUAUUAUAGGGAGAAAUUGUAGGGAGAAGUUGGGCCGAGUGGAAGGAAUGAGGCUGUAGAGGCUUAUUAUAGGGAGAGGGGUCUGGCCCAGUGGAACGAAUGGGAGGGAAAAAUGUUCACGGAGGGGUGUGUGUGGGGGGGGUCCAAAUAUUUCUUUAACUGAUCAAAUAGGAGAUAGCUAAUUUUUUUAGCCUAACUGAUCCAAACAAGGGAACAUGAGAAUUGAUUGAUAAAUUCUUGGAAUCGGCCACAUGAUACCCGUCAAUUUCUCAACCAAAGAUCAUUUCUCAAUAAGAAAACCAAAGCUUGUCUACUACUCUAUCCGUUUCAAAAUGCAAGUAGUUUUGAAUUUUCUAUACAGAUAGGUCCUCCUAUGCACCUAAAUAUAGAGUUAUACCUAGAUAAUUAACAUCUAUAGCCUUAACCAGAGCUUGGAGACCCCUUGCAACUGUAGCAGCCGCUAUGGAAGUUGGAGGUGUUUUCUAGGGUUUCACUACGACACUACCUGGAAGGCUUAUUAUAGGGAGAAGUUGUAGGGAGAAGUUGGGCCGAUUGGAACGAAUGAGGCUGUAGAGGCUUAUUAUAGGGAGAGGGGUCUGGCCCAGUGGAACGAAUGGGAGGGGAAAAUGUUUAUGGAGGGGUGUGUGUGUGUGGGGGGGGGUCCAAAUAUUCCUUUAACUGAUCAAAUAGGAGAUAGCUAAUUUUUUUAGCCUAACUAAUCCAAACAAGGGAACAUGAGAAUUGAUUGAUAAAUUCUUGGAAUCGGCCACAUGAUACCCGUCAAUUUCUCAACCAAAGAUCAUUUCUCAAUCAGAAAACCAAAGCUUGUCUACUACUCCAUCCGUUUCAAAAUGCAAGUAGUUUUGAAUUUUCUAUACAGAUAGGUCCUGCUAUGCACCUAAAUAUAGAGUUAUACCUAGAUUAAUAACAUCUAUAGCCUUGACCAGAGCUUGGAGACCCCUUGCAACUGUAGCAGCCGCCAUGGGAGUUGGAGGUGUUGUCUACGGUUUCACUACGACACUACCUGGAAGGCUUAUUAUAGGGAGAAGUUGUAGGGAGAAGUUGGGCCGAGUGGAACGAAUGAGGUUGUAGAGGCUUAUUAUAGGGAGAGGGGUCUGGCCCAGUGGAACGAAUGGGAGGGAAAAAUGUUCAUGGAGGGGUGUGUGGGGGGGGUCCAAAUAUUUCUUUAACUGAUCAAAUAGGAGAUAGCUAAUUUUUUUGGCUAACUGAUCCAAACAAGGGAACAUGAGAUUUGAUUGAUAAAUUCUUGGAAUCGGCCACAUGAUACCCGUCAAUUUCUCAACCAAAGAUUAUUUCUCAAUCAGAAAACAAAAGAUUGUCUACUACUCCAUCCGUUUCAAAAUGCAAGUAGUUUUGAAUUUUCUAUACAGAUAGGUCCUGCUAUGCACCUAAAUAUAGAGUUAUACCUAGAUAAAUAACAUCUAUAGCCUUGACCGGAGCUUGGAGAUCCCUUGCAACUGUAGCAGCCGCCAUGGGAGUUGGAGGUGUUGUCUAGGGUUUCACUACGACACUACCUGGAAGGCUUAUUAUAGGGAGAAGUUGUAGGGAGAAGUUGGGCCGAGUGGAACGAAUGAGGCUGUAGAGGCUUAUUAUAGGGAGAGGGGUCUGGCCCAGUGGAACGAAUGGGAGGGAAAAAUGUUCAUGGAGGGGUGUGUGGGGGGGGUCCAAAUAUUUCUUUAACUGAUCAAAUAGGAGAUAGCUAAUUUUUUUAGCCUAACUGAUCCAAACAAGGGAACAUGAGAAUUGAUUGAUAAAUUCUUGGAAUCGGCCACAUGAUACUCGUCAAUUUCUCAACCAAAGAUCAUUUCUCAAUCAGAAAACCAAAGCUUGUCUACUACUCCAUCCGUUUCAAAAUGCAAGUAGUUUUGAAUUUUCUAUACAGAUAGGUCCUGCUAUGCACCUAAAUAUAGAGUUAUACCUAGAUAAAUAACAUCUAUAGCCUUAACCAGAGCUUGGAGACCCCUUGCAACUGUAGCAGCCGCCAUGGGAGUUGGAGGUGUUGUCUAGGGUUUCACUACGAUACUACCUGGAAGGCUUAUUAUUGGGAGAAGUUGUAGGGAGAAGUUGGGCCGAGUGGAACGAAUGAGGCUGGAGAGGCUUAUUAUAGGGAGAGGGGUCUGGCCCAGUGGAACGAAUGGGAGGGGAAAAUGUUUAUGGAGGGGUGUGUGUGUGGGGGGGGGGUCCAAAUAUUCGUUUAACUGAUCAAAUAGGAGAUAGCUAAUUUUUUUAGCCUAACUGAUCCAAACAAGGGAAAAUGAGAAUUGAUUGAUAAAUUCUUGGAAUUGGUCACAUGAUACCCGUCAAUUUCUCUAACCAAAGAUCAUUUCUCAAUCAGAAAACCAAAGCUUGUCUACUACUCCAUCCGUUUCAAAAUGCAAGUAGUUUUGAAUUUUCUAUACAGAUAGGUCCUGCUAUGCACCUAAAUAUAGAGUUAUACCUAGAUAAAUAACAUCUAUAGCCUUGACCAGAGCUUGGAGACCCCUUGAAACUGUAGCAGCCGCCAUGGGAGUUGGAGGUGUUGUCUAGGGUUUCACUACGACACUACCUGAAAGGCUUAUUAUAGGGAGAAGUUGUAGGGAGAAGUUGGGCCGAGUGGAACGAAUGAGGCUGUAGAGGCUUAUUAUAGGGACAGGGGUCUGGCCCAGUGGAACGAAUGGGAGGGAAAAAUGUUCAUGGAGGGGUGUGUGGGGGGGGUCCAAAUAUUUCUUUAACUGAUCAAAUAGGAGAUAGCUAAUUUUUUUAGCCUAACUGAUCCAAACAAGGGAACAUGAGAAUUGAUUGAUAAAUUCUUGGAAUCGGCCACAUGAUACCCGUCAAUUUCUCAACCAAAGAUCAUUUCUCAAUCAGAAAACCAAAGCUUGUCUACUACUCCAUCCGUUUCAAAAUGCAAGUAGUUUUGAAUUUUCUAUACAGAUAGGUCCUGCCUAUGCACCUAAAUAUAGAGUUAUACCUAGAUAAAUAACAUCUAUAGCCUUAACCAGCAGCUUGGAGACCCCUUGCAACUGUAGCAGCCGCCAUGGGAGUUGGAUGUGUUGUCUAGGGUUUCACUACGACACUACCUGGAAGGCUUAUUAUAGGGAGAAGUUGUAGGGAGAAGGUUGGCCGAUUGGAACGAAUGAGGCUGUAGAGGCUUAUUAUAGGGAGAGGGGUCUGGCCCAGUGGAACGAAUGGGAGGGAAAAAUAGUUCAUGGAGGGGUGUGUGUGUGGGGGGGGGGGUCCAAAUAUUCCUUUAACUGAUAAAAUAGGAGAUAGCUAAUUUUUUUAGCCUAACUGAUCCAAACAAGGCGAACAUGAGAAUUGAUUGAUAAAUUCUUGGAAUCGGCCACAUGAUACCCGUCAAUUUCUCAACCAAAGAUCAUUUCUCAAUCAGAAAACCAAAGAUUGUCUACUACUCCAUCCGUUUCAAAAUGCAAGUAGUUUUAAAUUUUCUAUACAGAUAGGUCCUGCUAUGCACCUAAAUAUAGAGUUAUACCUAGAUAAAUAACAUCUAUAGCCUUGACCAGAGCUUGGAGAUCCCUUGCAACUGUAGCAGCCGCCAUGGGAGUUGGAGGUGUUGUCUAGGGUUUCACUACGACACUACCUGGAAGGCUUAUUAUAGGGAGAAGUUGUAGGGAGAAGGUUGGGCCAAGUGGAACGAAUGAGGCUGUAGAGGCUUAUUAUAGGGAGAGGGGUCUGGCCCAGUGGAACGAAUGGGAGGGAAAAAUGUUCAUGGAGGGGUGUGUGUGGGGGGGGGUCCAAAUAUUCCUUUAACUGAUCAAAUAGGAGAUAGCUAAUUUUUUAGCCUAACUGAUCCAAACAAGGGAACAUGAGAAUUGAUUGAUAAAUUCUUGGAAUCGGCCACAUGAUACCCGUCAAUUUCUCAACCAAAGAUCAUUUCUCAAUCAGAAAACCAAAGCUUGUCUACUACUCCAUCCGUUUCAAAAUGCAAGUAGUUUUGAAUUUUCUAUACAGAUAGGUCCUGCUAUGCACCUAAAUAUAGAGUUAUACCUAGAUAAAUAACAUCUAUAGCCUUGACCAGAGCUUGGAGACCCCUUGCAACUGUAGCAGCCGCCAUGGGAGUUGGAGGUGUUGUCUAGGGUUUCACUACGACACUACCUGGAAGGCUUAUUAUAGGGAGAAGUUGUAGGGAGAAGUUGGGCUGAGUGGAACGAAUGAGGCUGUAGAGGCUUAUUAUAGGGAGAGGGGUCUGGCCCAGUGGAACGAAUGGGAGGGCAAAAAUGUUCAUGGAGGGUGUGUGUUGGGGGGGGUUCCAAAUAUUCCUUUAACUGAUCAAAUAGGAGAUAGCUAAUUUUUUUAGCCUAACUGAUCCAAACAAGGGAACAUGAGAAUUGAUUGAUAAAUUCUUGGAAUCGGCCACAUGAUACCCGUCAAUUUCUCAACCAAAGAUCAUUUCUCAAUCAGAAAACCAAAGGUUGUCUACUACUCCAUCCGUUUCAAAAUGCAAGUAGUUUUGAAUUUUCUAUACAGAUAGGUCCUGCUAUGCACCUAAAUAUAGAGUUAUACCUAGAUAAAUAACAUCUAUAGCCUUGACCAGAGCUUGGAGACCCCUUGCAACUGUAGCAGCCGCCAUGGGAGUUGGAGGUGUUGUCUAGGGUUUCACUACGACACUACCUGGAAGGCUUAUUAUAGGGAGAAGUUGUAGGGAGAAGUUGGGCUGAGUGGAACGAAUGAGGCUGUAGAGGCUUAUUAUAGGGAGAGGGGUCUGGCCCAGUGGAACGAAUGGGAGGCAAAAAUGUUCAUGGAGGGGUGUGUGUGGGGGGGGGGUCCAAAUAUUCCUUUAACUGAUCAAAUAGGAGAUAGCUAAUUUUUUAGCCUAACUGAUCCAAACAAGGGAACAUGAGCAUUGAUUGAUAAAUUCUUGGAAUCGGCCACAUGAUACCCGUCAACCAAAGAUCAUUUCUCAAUCAGAAAACCAAAGCUUGUCUACUACUCUAUCCGUUUCAAAAUGCAAGUAGUUUUGAAUUUUCUAUACAGAUAGGUCCUGCUAUGCACCUAAAUAUAGAGGUAUACCUAGAUAAAUAACAUCUAUAGCCUUAACCAGAGCUUGGAGACCCCUUGCAACUGUAGCAGCCGCCAUGGGAGUUGGAUGUGUUGUCUAGGGUUUCACUACGACACUACCUGGAAGGCUUAUUAUAGAGAGAUGUUGUAGGGAGAAGGUUGGCCAAUUGGACCGAAUGAGGCUGUAGAGGCUUAUUAUAGGGAGAGGGGUCUGGCCCAGUGGAACGAAUGGGAGGGAAAAAUGUUCAUGGAGGGGUGUGUGUGGGGGGGGGGGGGUCCAAAUAUUCCUUUAACUGAUCAAAUAGGAGAUAGCUAAUUUUUUUAGCCUAACUAAUCCAAACAAGGGAACAUGAGAAUUGAUUGAUAAAUUCUUGGAAUCGGCCACAUGAUACCCGUCAAUUUCUCAACCAAAGAUCAUUUCUCAAUCAGAAAACCAAAGCUUGUCUACUACUCCAUCCGUUUCAAAAUGCAAGUAGUUUUGAAUUUUCUAUACAGAUAGGUCCUGCUAUGCACCUAAAUAUAGAGUUAUACCUAGAUAAAUAACAUCUAUAGCCUUGACCAGAGCUUGGAGACCCCUUGCAACUGUAGCAGCCGCCAUGGGAGUUGGAGGUGUUGUCUAGGGUUUCACUACGACACUACCUGGAAGGCUUAUUAUAGGGAGAAGUUGUAGGGAGAAGUUGGGCCGAGUGGAACGAAUGAGGCUUUAGAGGCUUAUUAUAGGGAGAGGGGUCUGGCCCAGUGGAACGAAUGGGAGGCAAAAAUGUUCAUGGAGGGGUGUGUGGGGGGGGGGUCCAAAUAUUCCUUUAACUGAUCAAAUAGGAGAUAGCUAAUUUUUUAGCCUAACUGAUCCAAACAAGGGAACAUGAGAAUUGAUUGAUAAAUUCUUGGAAUCGGCCACAUGAUACCCGUCAAUUUCUCAACCAAAGAUCAUUUCUCAAUCAGAAAACCAAAGCUUGUCUACUACUCUAUCCGUUUCAAAAUGCAAGUAGUUUUGAAUUUUCUAUACAGAUAGGUCCUGCUAUGCACCUAAAUAUAGAGGUAUACCUAGAUAAAUAACAUCUAUAGCCUUAACCAGAGCUUGGAGACCCCUUGCAACUGUAGCAGCCGCCAUGGGAGUUGGAUGUGUUGUCUAGGGUUUCACUACGACACUACCUGGAAGGCUUAUUAUAGAGAGAUGUUGUAGGGAGAAGGUUGGCCAAUUGGACCGAAUGAGGCUGUAGAGGCUUAUUAUAGGGAGAGGGGUCUGGCCCAGUGGAACGAAUGGGAGGGAAAAAUGUUCAUGGAGGGGUGUGUGUGGGGGGGGGUCCAAAUAUUCCUUUAACUGAUCAAAUAGGAGAUAGCUAAUUUUUUUAGCCUAACUAAUCCAAACAAGGGAACAUGAGAAUUGAUUGAUAAAUUCUUGGAAUCAGCCACAUGAUACCCGUCAAUUUCUCAACCAAAGAUCAUUUCUCAAUCAGAAAACCAAAGCUUGUCUACUAAUCCAUCCGUUUCAAAAUGCAAGUAGUUUUGAAUUUUCUAUACAGAUAGGUCCUGCUAUGCACCUAAAUAUAGAGUUAUACCUAGAUAAAUAACAUCUAUAGCCUUGACCAGAGCUUGGAGACCCCUUGCAACUGUAGCAGCCGCCAUGGGAGUUGGAGGUGUUGUCUAGGGUUUCACUACGACACUACCUGGAAGGCUUAUUAUAGGGAGAAGUUGUAGGGAGAAGUUGGGCCGAGUGGAACGAAUGAGGCUUUAGAGGCUUAUUAUAGGGAGAGGGGUCUGGCCCAGUGGAACGAAUGGGAGGCAAAAAUGUUCAUGGAGGGGUGUGGGGGGGGGGGGUCCAAAUAUUCCUUUAACUGAUCAAAUAGGAGAUAGCUAAUUUUUUAGCCUAACUGAUCCAAACAAGGGAACAUGAGAAUUGAUUGAUAAAUUCUUGGAAUCGGCCACAUGAUACCCGUCAAUUUCUCAACCAAAGAUCAUUUCUCAAUCAGAAAACCAAAGCUUGUCUACUACUCCAUCCGUUUCAAAAUGCAUGUAGUUUUGAAUUUUCUAUACAGAUAGGUCCUGCUAUGCACCUAAAUAUAGAGUUAUACCUAGAUAAAUAACAUCUAUAGCCUUAACCAGAGCUUGGAGACCCCUUGCAACUGUAGCAGCCGCCAUGGGAGUUGGAUGUGUUGUCUAGGGUUUCACUACGACACUACCUGGAAGGCUUAUUAUAGAGAGAUGUUGUAGGGAGAAGGUUGGCCAAUUGGAACGAAUGAGGCUGUAGAGGCUUAUUAUAGGGAGAGGGGUCUGGCCCAGUGGAACGAAUGGGAGGGAAAAAUGUUCAUGGAGGGGUGUGUGUGGGGGGGGUCCAAAUAUUCCUUUAACUGAUCAAAUAGGAGAUAGCUAAUUUUUUUAGCCUAACUGAUCCAAACAAGGGAACAUGAGAAUUGAUUGAUAAAUUCUUGGAAUCGGCCACAUGAUACCCGUCAAUUUCUCAACCAAAGAUCAUUUCUCAAUCAGAAAACCAAAGCUUGUCUACUACUCCAUCCGUUUCAAAAUGCAAGUAGUUUUGAAUUUUCUAUACAGAUAGGUCCUGCUAUGCACCUAAAUAUAGAGUUAUACCUAGAUAAAUAACAUCUAUAGCCUUGACCAGAGCUUGGAGACCCCUUGCAACUGUAGCAGCCGCCAUGGGAGUUGGAGGUGUUGUCUAGGGUUUCACUACGACACUACCUGGAAGGCUUAUUAUAGGGAGAAGUUGUAGGGAGAAGUUGGGCCGAGUGGAACGAAUGAGGCUUUAGAGGCUUAUUAUAGGGAGAGGGGUCUGGCCCAGUGGAACGAAUGGGAGGCAAAAAUGUUCAUGGAGGGGUGUGUGGGGGGGGGGGUCCAAAUAUUCCUUUAACUGAUCAAAUAGGAGAUAGCUAAUUUUUUAGCCUAACUGAUCCAAACAAGGGAACAUGAGAAUUGAUUGAUAAAUUCUUGGAAUCGGCCACAUGAUACCCGUCAAUUUCUCAACCAAAGAUCAUUUCUCAAUCAGAAAACCAAAGCUUGUCUACUACUCCAUCCGUUUCAAAAUGCAUGUAGUUUUGAAUUUUCUAUACAGAUAGGUCCUGCUAUGCACCUAAAUAUAGAGUUAUACCUAGAUAAAUAACAUCUAUAGCCUUAACCAGAGCUUGGAGACCCCUUGCAACUGUAGCAGCCGCCAUGGGAGUUGGAUGUGUUGUCUAGGGUUUCACUACGACACUACCUGGAAGGCUUAUUAUAGAGAGAUGUUGUAGGGAGAAGGUUGGCCAAUUGGAACGAAUGAGGCUGUAGAGGCUUAUUAUAGGGAGAGGGGUCUGGCCCAGUGGAACGAAUGGGAGGGAAAAAUGUUCAUGGAGGGGUGUGUGUGGGGGGGGGUCCAAAUAUUCCUUUAACUGAUCAAAUAGGAGAUAGCUAAUUUUUUUAGCCUAACUGAUCCAAACAAGGGAACAUGAGAAUUGAUUGAUAAAUUCUUGGAAUCGGCCACAUGAUACCCGUCAAUUUCUCAACCAAAGAUCAUUUCUCAAUCAGAAAACCAAAGCUUGUCUACUACUCCAUCCGUUUCAAAAUGCAAGUAGUUUUGAAUUUUCUAUACAGAUAGGUCCUGCUAUGCACCUAAAUAUAGAGUUAUACCUAGAUAAAUAACAUCUAUAGCCUUUACCAGAGCUUGGAGACCCCUUGCAACUGUAGCAGCCGCCAUGGGAGUUGGAGGUGUUGUCUAGGGUUUCACUACGACACUACCUGGAAGGCUUAUUAUAGGGAGAAGUUGUAGGGAGAAGUUGGGCCGAGUGGAACGAAUGAGGCUGUAGAGGCUUAUUAUAGGGAGAGGGGUCUGGCCCAGUGGAACUGAAUGGGAGGCAAAAAUGUUCAUGGAGGGGUGUGUGGGGGGGGGUCCAAAUAUUUCUUUAACUGAUCAAAUAGGAGAUAGCUAAUUUUUUUAGCCUAACUGAUCCAAACAAGGGAACAUGAGAAUUGAUUGAUAAAUUCUUGGAAUCGGCCACAUGAUACCCGUCAAUUUCUCAACCAAAGAUCAUUUCUCAAUCAGAAAACCAAAGCUUGUCUACUACUCCAUCCGUUUCAAAAUGCAAGUAGUUUUGAAUUUUCUAUACAGAUAGGUCCUGCUAUGCACCUAAAUAUAGAGUUAUACCUAGAUAAAUAACAUCUAUAGGCCUUGACCAGAGCUUGGAGACCCCUUGCAACUGUAGCAGCCGCCAUGGGAGUUGGAGGUGUUGUCUAGGGUUUCACUACGACACUACCUGGAAGGCUUAUUAUAGGGAGAAGUUGUAGGGAGAAGUUGGGCCGAGUGGAACGAAUGAGGCUGUAGAGGCUUAUUAUAGGGAGAGGGGUCUGGCCCAGUGGAACGAAUGGGAGGGAAAAAUGUUCAUGGAGGGGUGUGUGGGGGGGGGGGUCCAAAUAUUCCUUUAACUGAUCAAAUAGGAGAUAGCUAAUUUUUUAGCCUAACUGAUCCAAACAAGGGAACAUGAGAAUUGAUUGAUAAAUUCUUGGAAUCGGCCACAUGAUACCCGUCAAUUUCUCAACCAAAGAUCAUUUCUCAAUCAGAAAACCAAAGCUUGUCUACUACUCCAUCCGUUUCAAAAUGCAUGUAGUUUUGAAUUUUCUAUACAGAUAGGUCCUGCUAUGCACCUAAAUAUAGAGUUAUACCUAGAUAAAUAACAUCUAUAGCCUUGACCAGAGCUUGGAGACCCCUUGCAAACUGUAGCAGCCGCCAUGGGAGUUGGAGGUGUUGUCUAGGGUUUCACUACGACACUACCUGGAAGGCUUAUUAUAGGGAGAAGUUGUAGGGAGAAGUUGGGCCGAGUGGAACGAAUGAGGCUGUAGAGGCUUAUUAUAGGGAGAGGGGUCUGGCCCAGUGGAACGAAUGGGAGGGAAAAAUGUUCAUGGAGGGGUGGGUGUGGGGGGGGGUCCAAAUAUUCCUUUAACUGAUCAAAUAGGAUAUAGCUAAUUUUUUUAGCCUAACUGAUCCAAACAAGGGAACAUGAGAAUUGAUUGAUAAAUUCUUGGAAUCGGCCACAUGAUACCCGUCAAUUUCUCAACCAAAGAUCAUUUCUCAAUCAGAAAACCAAAGCUUGUCUACUACUCCAUCCGUUUCAAAAUGCAAGUAGUUUUGAAUUUUCUAUACAGAUAGGUCCUGCUAUGCACCUAAAUAUAGAGUUAUACCUAGAUAAAUAACAUCUAUAGCCUUGACCAGAGCUUGGAGACCCCUUGCAACUGUAGCAGCCGCCAUGGGAGUUGGAGGUGUUGUCUAGGGUUUCACUACGACACUACCUGGAAGGCUUAUUAUAGGAGAAGUUGUAGGGAGAAGUUGGCCUGAGUGGAACGAAUGAGGCUGUAGAGGCUUAUUAUAGGGAGAGGGGUCUGGCCCAGUGGAACGAAUGGGAGGCAAAAAUGUUCAUGGAGGGGUGUGUGUGGGGGGGGGGUCCAAAUAUUCCUUUAACUGAUCAAAUAGGAGAUAGCUAAUUUUUUAGCCUAACUGAUCCAAACAAGGGAACAUGAGAAUUGAUUGAUAAAUUCUUGGAAUCGGCCACAUGAUACCCGUCAAUUUCUCAACCAAAGAUCAUUUCUCAAUCAGAAAACCAAAGCUUGUCUACUACUCUAUCCGUUUCAAAAUGCAAGUAGUUUUGAAUUUUCUAUACAGAUAGGUCCUGCUAUGCACCUAAAUAUAGAGGUAUACCUAGAUAAAUAACAUCUAUAGCCUUAACCAGAGCUUGGAGACCCCUUGCAACUGUAGCAGCCGCCAUGGGAGUUGGAUGUGUUGUCUAGGGUUUCACUACGACACUACCUGGAAGGCUUAUUAUAGAGAGAUGUUGUAGGGAGAAGGUUGGCCAAUUGGAACGAAUGAGGCUGUAGAGGCUUAUUAUAGGGAGAGGGGUCUGGCCCAGUGGAACGAAUGGGAGGGAAAAAUGUUCAUGGAGGGGUGUGUGUGGGGGGGGGUCCAAAUAUUCCUUUAACUGAUCAAAUAGGAGAUAGCUAAUUUUUUUAGCCUAACUAAUCCAAACAAGGGAACAUGAGAAUUGAUUGAUAAAUUCUUGGAAUCGGCCACAUGAUACCCGUCAAUUUCUCAACCAAAGAUCAUUUCUCAAUCAGAAAACCAAAGCUUGUCUACUACUCCAUCCGUUUCAAAAUGCAUGUAGUUUUGAAUUUUCUAUACAGAUAGGUCCUGCUAUGCACCUAAAUAUAGAGUUAUACCUAGAUAAAUAACAUCUAUAGCCUUAACCAGAGCUUGGAGACCCCUUGCAACUGUAGCAGCCGCCAUGGGAGUUGGAUGUGUUGUCUAGGGUUUCACUACGACAGUACCUGGAAGGCUUAUUAUAGAGAGAUGUUGUAGGGAGAAGGUUGGCCAAUUGGAACGAAUGAGGCUGUAGAGGCUUAUUAUAGGGAGAGGGGUCUGGCCCAGUGGAACGAAUGGGAGGGAAAAAUGUUCAUGGAGGGGUGUGUGUGGGGGGGGGUCCAAAUAUUCCUUUAACUGAUCAAAUAGGAGAUAGCUAAUUUUUUUAGCCUAACUGAUCCAAACAAGGGAACAUGAGAAUUGAUUGAUAAAUUCUUGGAAUCGGCCACAUGAUACCCGUCAAUUUCUCAACCAAAGAUCAUUUCUCAAUCAGAAAACCAAAGCUUGUCUACUACUCCAUCCGUUUCAAAAUGCAAGUAGUUUUGAAUUUUCUAUACAGAUAGGUCCUGCUAUGCACCUAAAUAUAGAGUUAUACCUAGAUAAAUAACAUCUAUAGCCUUGACCAGAGCUUGGAGACCCCUUGCAACUGUAGCAGCCGCCAUGGGAGUUGGAGGUGUUGUCUAGGGUUUCACUACGACACUACCUGGAAGGCUUAUUAUAGGGAGAAGUUGUAGGGAGAAGUUGGGCCGAGUGGAACGAAUGAGGCUUUAGAGGCUUAUUAUAGGGAGAGGGGUCUGGCCCAGUGGAACGAAUGGGAGAAAAAAUGUUCAUGGAGGGGUGUGUGGGGGGGGGGGGUCCAAAUAUUCCUUUAACUGAUCAAAUAGGAGAUAGCUAAUUUUUUAGCCUAACUGAUCCAAACAAGGGAACAUGAGAAUUGAUUGAUAAAUUCUUGGAAUCGGCCACAUGAUACCCGUCAAUUUCUCAACCAAAGAUCAUUUCUCAAUCAGAAAACCAAAGCUUGUCUACUACUCCAUCCGUUUCAAAAUGCAUGUAGUUUUGAAUUUUCUAUACAGAUAGGUCCUGCUAUGCACCUAAAUAUAGAGUUAUACCUAGAUAAAUAACAUCUAUAGCCUUAACCAGAGCUUGGAGACCCCUUGCAACUGUAGCAGCCGCCAUGGGAGUUGGAUGUGUUGUCUAGGGUUUCACUACGACACUACCUGGAAGGCUUAUUAUAGAGAGAUGUUGUAGGGAGAAGGUUGACCAAUUGGAACGAAUGAGGCUGUAGAGGCUUAUUAUAGGGAGAGGGGUCUGGCCCAGUGGAACGAAUGGGAGGGAAAAAUGUUCAUGGAGGGGUGUGUGUGGGGGGGGGGUCCAAAUAUUCCUUUAACUGAUCAAAUAGGAGAUAGCUAAUUUUUUUAGCCUAACUGAUCCAAACAAGGGAACAUGAGAAUUGAUUGAUAAAUUCUUGGAAUCGGCCACAUGAUACCCGUCAAUUUCUCAACCAAAGAUCAUUUCUCAAUCAGAAAACCAAAGCUUGUCUACUACUCCAUCCGUUUCAAAAUGCAAGUAGUUUUGAAUUUUCUAUACAGAUAGGUCCUGCUAUGCACCUAAAUAUAGAGUUAUACCUAGAUAAAUAACAUCUAUAGCCUUGACCAGAGCUUGGAGACCCCUUGCAACUGUAGCAGCCGCCAUGGGAGUUGGAGGUGUUGUCUAGGGUUUCACUACGACACUACCUGGAAGGCUUAUUAUAGGGAGAAGUUGUAGGGAGAAGUUGGGCCGAGUGGAACGAAUGAGGCUUUAGAGGCUUAUUAUAGGGAGAGGGGUCUGGCCCAGUGGAACGAAUGGGAGGCAAAAAUGUUCAUGGAGGGGUGUGUGGGGGGGGGGUCCAAAUAUUCCUUUAACUGAUCAAAUAGGAGAUAGCUAAUUUUUUAGCCUAACUGAUCCAAACAAGGGAACAUGAGAAUUGAUUGAUAAAUUCUUGGAAUCGGCCACAUGAUACCCGUCAAUUUCUCAACCAAAGAUCAUUUCUCAAUCAGAAAACCAAAGCUUGUCUACUACUCCAUCCGUUUCAAAAUGCAUGUAGUUUUGAAUUUUCUAUACAGAUAGGUCCUGCUAUGCACCUAAAUAUAGAGUUAUACCUAGAUAAAUAACAUCUAUAGCCUUAACCAGAGCUUGGAGACCCCUUGCAACUGUAGCAGCCGCCAUGGGAGUUGGAUGUGUUGUCUAGGGUUUCACUACGACACUACCUGGAAGGCUUAUUAUAGAGAGAUGUUGUAGGGAGAAGGUUGGCCAAUUGGAACGAAUGAGGCUGUAGAGGCUUAUUAUAGGGAGAGGGGUCUGGCCCAGUGGAACGAAUGGGAGGGAAAAAUGUUCAUGGAGGGGUGUGUGUGGGGGGGGGUCCAAAUAUUCCUUUAACUGAUCAAAUAGGAGAUAGCUAAUUUUUUUAGCCUAACUGAUCCAAACAAGGGAACAUGAGAAUUGAUUGAUAAAUUCUUGGAAUCGGCCACAUGAUACCCGUCAAUUUCUCAACCAAAGAUCAUUUCUCAAUCAGAAAACCAAAGCUUGUCUACUACUCCAUCCGUUUCAAAAUGCAAGUAGUUUUGAAUUUUCUAUACAUAUAGGUCCUGCUAUGCACCUAAAUAUAGAGUUAUACCUAGAUAAAUAACAUCUAUAGCCUUGACCAGAGCUUGGAGACCCCUUGCAACUGUAGCAGCCGCCAUGGGAGUUGGAGGUGUUGUCUAGGGUUUCACUACGACACUACGUGGAAGGCUUAUUAUAGGGAGAAGUUGUAGGGAGAAGUUGGGCCGAGUGGAACGAAUGAGGCUGUAGAGGCUUAUUAUAGGGAGAGGGGUCUGGCCCAGUGGAAUGAAUGGGAGGCAAAAAUGUUCAUGGAGGGGUGUGUGGGGGGGGUCCAAAUAUUUCUUUAACUGAUCAAAUAGGAGAUAGCUAAUUUUUUUAGCCUAACUGAUCCAAACAAGGGAACAUGAGAAUUGAUUGAUAAAUUCUUGGAAUCGGCCACAUGAUACCCGUCAAUUUCUCAACCAAAGAUCAUUUCUCAAUCAGAAAACCAAAGCUUGUCUACUACUCCAUCCGUUUCAAAAUGCAAGUAGUUUUGAAUUUUCUAUACAGAUAGGUCCUGCUAUGCACCUAAAUAUAGAGUUAUACCUAGAUAAAUAACAUCUAUAGGCUUGACCAGAGCUUGGAGACCCCUUGCAACUGUAGCAGCCGCCAUGGGAGUUGGAGGUGUUGUCUAGGGUUUCACUACGACACUACCUGGAAGGCUUAUUAUAGGGAGAAGUUGUAGGGAGAAGUUGGGCCGAGUGGAACGAAUGAGGCUGUAGAGGCUUAUUAUAGGGAGAGGGGUCUGGCCCAGUGGAACGAAUGGGAGGGAAAAAUGUUCAUGGAGGGGUGUGGGGGGGGGGGGUCCAAAUAUUCCUUUAACUGAUCAAAUAGGAGAUAGCUAAUUUUUUAGCCUAACUGAUCCAAACAAGGGAACAUGAGAAUUGAUUGAUAAAUUCUUGGAAUCGGCCACAUGAUACCCGUCAAUUUCUCAACCAAAGAUCAUUUCUCAAUCAGAAAACCAAAGCUUGUCUACUACUCCAUCCGUUUCAAAAUGCAUGUAGUUUUGAAUUUUCUAUAUAGAUAGGUCCUGCUAUGCACCAAAAUAUAGAGUUAUACCUAGAUAAAUAACAUCUAUAGCCUUGACCAGAGCUUGGAGACCCCUUGCAAACUGUAGCAGCCGCCAUGGGAGUUGGAGGUGUUGUCUAGGGUUUCACUACGACACUACCUGGAAGGCUUAUUAUAGGGAGAAGUUGUAGGGAGAAGUUGGGCCGAGUGGAACGAAUGAGGCUGUAGAGGCUUAUUAUAGGGAGAGGGGUCUGGCCCAGUGGAACGAAUGGGAGGGAAAAAUGUUCAUGGAGGGGUGGGUGUGGGGGGGGGUCCAAAUAUUCCUUUAACUGAUCAAAUAGGAUAUAGCUAAUUUUUUUAGCCUAACUGAUCCAAACAAGGGAACCUGAGAAUUGAUUGAUAAAUUCUUGGAAUCGGCCACAUGAUACCUGUCAAUUUCUCAACCAAAGAUCAUUUCUCAAUCAGAAAACCAAAGCUUGUCUACUACUCCAUCCGUUUCAAAAUGCAAGUAGUUUUGAAUUUUCUAUGCAGAUAGGUCCUGCUAUGCACCUAAAUAUAGAGUUAUACCUAGAUAAAUAACAUCUAUAGCCUUGACCAGAGCUUGGAGACCCCUUGCAACUAUAGCAGCCGCCAUGGGAGUUGGAGGUGUUGUCUAGGGUUUCACUACGACACUACCUGGAAGGCUUAUUAUAGGGAGAAGUUGUAGGGAGAAGUUGGGCCGAGUGGAACGAAUGAGGCUGUAGAGGCUUAUUAUAGGGAGAGGGGUCUGGCCCAGUGGAACGAAUGGGAGGGAAAAAUGUUCAUGGAGGGGUGUGUGGGGGUCCAAAUAUUCCUUUAACUGAUCAAAUAGGAGAUAGCUAGUUUUUUUAGCCUAACUGAUCCAAACAAGGGAACAUGAGAAUUGAUUGAUAAAUUCUUGGAAUCGGCCACAUGAUACCCGUCAAUUUCUCAACCAAAGAUCAUUUCUCAAUCAGAAAAUCAAAGUUUGUCUACUACUCCAUCCGCUUCAAAAUGCAAGUAGUUUUGAAUUUUCUAUACAGAUAGGUCCUGCUAUGCAUCUAAAUAUAGAGUUAAGCCUAAUUAGUCUGUAAUU
RNAcentral lists this long non-coding RNA (24010 nucleotides) under Setaria viridis. RNAcentral's name for it is "long non-coding RNA (SVIR_LNC005308)". Lineage: Eukaryota; Viridiplantae; Streptophyta; Magnoliopsida; Poales; Poaceae. The record is from RNAcentral.